Molecule: long non-coding RNA, 107 nt
Organism: Chelonia mydas (Green sea turtle)
Lineage: Eukaryota; Metazoa; Chordata; Testudines; Cheloniidae
Exons: 3
Source: RefSeq, a predicted model, not a curated record
AACCAAACCAGCCAGACAGAAAGGACUUUGAUUUUACAGCACUGGCUAACCACACGUCACACAAGCAAUUCCCUUAGACACUCCAGUUUUCCCAGUAUCUCCACCAG